This 465-nucleotide ribosomal RNA is filed under the name uncultured bacterium. Its description in RNAcentral is "partial 16S ribosomal RNA". It matches the Rfam family "Bacterial small subunit ribosomal RNA", at positions 28 to 507 of the family's 1533-position model. The record is from RNAcentral.
GACGAACGCUGGCGGCGUGCUUAACACAUGCAAGUCGUACGGUAAGGCCCUUUCGGGGUUACACGAGUGGCGAACGGUUGAGUAACACGUGAGUAACCUUCCCACAACUUUUGGAUAACGCUAGGAACCUGGUGCUAAUUCUGGAUAUGUGCUCCUGCUGCAUGGUGUGGGUUGGAAAGCUCCUGCGGUUGUGGAUGGACUCGCGGCCUAUCAUCUUGUUGGUGGGGUAGUGGCCUACCAAGGCGGCGACGGGUAGCCGGCCUGAGAGGGUGACCGGCCACAUUGGGACUGAGAUACGGCCCAGACUGCUACGGGAGGCAGCAGUGGGGAAUAUUGCACAAUGGGCGCAAGCCUGAUGCAGCAACGCCGCGUGCGGGAGGACGGCCUUCGGGUUGUAAAAAGCUUUCAGCAGGGACGAAGCUUUUUGUGACGGUACCUGCAGAAGAAGCACCGGCUAACUACGUG